This 253-nucleotide ribosomal RNA is filed under the name uncultured bacterium. RNAcentral describes it as "partial 16S ribosomal RNA". It matches the Rfam family "Bacterial small subunit ribosomal RNA", at positions 524 to 776 of the family's 1533-position model. The record is from RNAcentral.
UACAGAGGGGGCAAGCGUUGUUCGGAAUUACUGGGCGUAAAGGGCGCGUAGGCGGCCUUCUAAGUCGAACGUGAAAUCCCCGGGCUCAACCCGGGAACUGCGUCCGAGACUGGAAGGCUCGAAUCCGGGAGAGGGAUGUGGAAUUCCAGGUGUAGCGGUGAAAUGCGUAGAUAUCUGGAGGAACAUCGGUGGCGAAGGCGGCAUCCUGGACCGGUAUUGACGCUGAGGCGCGAAAGCCAAGGGAGCAAACGGG